AUUGAACGCUGGCGGCAGGCCUAACACAUGCAAGUCGAGCGGAUGAAGGGAGCUUGCUCCUGGAUUCAGCGGCGGACGGGUGAGUAAUGCCUAGGAAUCUGCCUGGUAGUGGGGGAUAACGUCCGGAAACGGGCGCUAAUACCGCAUACGUCCUGAGGGAGAAAGUGGGGGAUCUUCGGACCUCACGCUAUCAGAUGAGCCUAGGUCGGAUUAGCUAGUUGGUGGGGUAAAGGCCUACCAAGGCGACGAUCCGUAACUGGUCUGAGAGGAUGAUCAGUCACACUGGAACUGAGACACGGUCCAGACUCCUACGGGAGGCAGCAGUGGGGAAUAUUGGACAAUGGGCGAAAGCCUGAUCCAGCCAUGCCGCGUGUGUGAAGAAGGUCUUCGGAUGGUAAAGCACUUUAAGUUGGGAGGAAGGGCAGUAAGUUAAUACCUUGCUGCUUUGACGUUACCAACAGAAUAAGCACCGGCUAACUUCGUG
This 484-nucleotide ribosomal RNA is filed under the name uncultured bacterium. Its description in RNAcentral is "partial 16S ribosomal RNA". It matches the Rfam family "Bacterial small subunit ribosomal RNA", at positions 30 to 507 of the family's 1533-position model. The record is from RNAcentral.